Molecule: non-coding RNA, 366 nt
Organism: Clarias gariepinus (North African catfish)
Lineage: Eukaryota; Metazoa; Chordata; Actinopteri; Siluriformes; Clariidae
Source: the annotation of a RefSeq genome assembly
AUGACCAUAACCCGUUGUGGAUGUCAGACACUAACCGAGUCUGAGCCAGCGGUCAUUAAACCUGGGGGAUCUCAUCAACUCACCUGUACCUACUCUGGGAUUAGUGAUGAUGAUGCAGCUAUAGCUUGGAUUAGACAGGCUCAAGGAAAAGGUCUUGAGUGGAUCUCAAGCAUUUCUGCUCCAAGUGGUAGCAAGAAGUACUACUCUCAGUCUGUUCAGGGAAGAUUCACCAUCUCCAGAGACAACAGCAAGAAACAGGGGUAUCUGCACAUGACCAGCCUAAAAACUGAAGAUACAGCUGUGUAUUAUUGUGCUCGGUGGACUCACAGUAACACAAUCAACUGCAGUGAUGUACAAAAACUUUAA